UCUUGAAAUCCAUGAAGUCCAUGAAAUUGGAAUGAUGCAUGACCCCUGCACAAGGAUGACAUGCAAGUUUGUGAAGUGUUCCGUAUUUUU
RNAcentral lists this small nuclear RNA (90 nucleotides) under Otus sunia (Oriental scops-owl). The record is from RNAcentral. Lineage: Eukaryota; Metazoa; Chordata; Aves; Strigiformes; Strigidae.